UACGUAGGGUGCAAGCGUUGUCCGGAAUUAUUGGGCGUAAAGAGCUCGUAGGCGGUCUGUCGCGUCUGCUGUGAAAACUCAGGGCUUAACCCUGAGCUUGCAGUGGGUACGGGCAGACUAGAGUGCGGUAGGGGAGACUGGAAUUCCCGGUGUAGUGGUGAAAUGCGUAGAUAUCGGGAGGAACACCAGUGGCGAAGGCGACUACCUGGCCUGUUUCUUGACGCUGAGGCGCGAAAGCUAGGGGAGCAAACGGG
Molecule: ribosomal RNA, 254 nt
Filed under: uncultured bacterium
Lineage: Bacteria
Description: partial 16S ribosomal RNA
Rfam family: Bacterial small subunit ribosomal RNA
Source: RNAcentral